AGUCAGGCGAUGCACUGCACUGUUUUAAUUCACGGUAAAUUUUGUUUUUGCUUUUCUAACCGCGCUCGAAUGUGCCUACGCAGCGGACCGAAGCGUGCGCCACUAACCAAACCCUGCGGUAUUCUGUGAUUCUGUGCGGCAAAGAGGAUGUAAUAGCUUGUGGAGUAGUGAUACUGUGAGGAUGCGUGUGCGGCUGUGUGGUGUCGCUUCGAGCAAUUUGGCCUAUCAACCGAGACAACGGCUGACCCUAUGACACAGGAAGUCUGCUAGUAGAUCGAGUCCUUACAUUAGUCAUUCAAAAAAUCCAAUUUCAGUCUAUUUCAUUGAUACUGUCCUGUGUAUCCUGUGUCUCCUACAAUAUUGCGGUCGGCGGCAUUUAAUAACUGGUUAAUCUGCGCCUUAACAUAAAACUCUUACGAAAAUAAAGGUUAUUAAUAAGUUAUUAAUUGACAAAGAUUUGUAUGUAAAGACAACUCUAUUUUACUUAUCGAUCGAGUUUUUCAAGUAUUCGCUUCCGCAAACAUUCCGAUGUACACAUUGAACAUUACUAAAAUAUUUAGUGAUCAGCGUAUAAUUAAAUAAUUAAAAUUAUAAUUUAUUAUCAAACAGUUUUCAUUAUACAAUACACACGUACGAGGAAACCGCCGGACUUCCGCCCUCCACUGGAAUUGCGGGAGGAGCAUAUCAGAGUCGAACCGACUAAAACCUCCUGUUGCUCAACAACCAACGUCCAAACCUCGCAUGAGACCGAACUCAUGAAAAGGUAAAGGGGGGAAAGUGAAGCGUUUAGUGCGGAGCACAUUUCUCCCAUCAUCCUUUCCAUUAGUUGAUGGUGGGUUGCGGUAUUCACGUUCCGCACGGCUUCGAUAAAUUAACAUGAGGCGAACAUGUGGACAUAUUAAUAAAAUAUAUAUUCAAGUAAACCUACACUCGAUAAGCAAUGCUCGCUUUUAAAUAUAUCUAUUCAUGUAUAAAAGGAAAUCUUACCGCUUAUUAUUGGAGACGUGAAUAUCUUCAGGUUUGUAAAAGUACCUAAUGUGUUUUGUAGGAGAUCAAGAGGAUCAUUUCAUUGUUACGCUAACCAAAAUGUGGGCGUAUCACUCCUACAUGCAGAUAACAGUACUUUUUUUAUUAUUUAGAAAUUAGAUUGUCGAUUUAUUUUUUGUGAUACUAAUUUAUUGAUGAAAAAUUUUUGAAUUGAGGGUAAAAUGACUUGUUCUACUUUUGCUAAUGACUAUAGUUUUUGCCCUUUUUUUCUUUCAAUUAUGAAAAGUAAAAAAAAUCUAAUCAUAAAAUAUAUCGAAAUGGAAAUUUUGAAACGAUAUUUUCGGAAAACUUGAAUAGUUUCGGUCUUAUAGAGAUCAUGAUUAUGCAUCUGAUGUUAGGUAUUACUCACAAAUAUUGUUUGUUAAAAUUUUUAGUUCAUUCAAUUCAGGUGUAUCGUUAUUAAAUGGUUUACAUGUAAUAGGGUUCACACGUUAACUAAUUAGUGCCUAUUCAUGUUUUUAGUUUAUUUUCAUAGAAUCUUUCUACAGACUGAGAGUACAUGAGUUGACGGACCUAUGACGUAUUUGGUGUUGUAUUGAAUGGCAUGUAUUUGUAGACUGAUAAACUUAAUUGAGGAUCGAGGCUCAUGGACAUCAGAAAAGCCUGAGGCACAGUCGCUGCUUAUCGCAAACCUAUAGCGUUGAUUCAAUUACAAAUCAAUUUAAAUUUUACGUUUCAAAGUAAAAAAGAAUACGACAUGUUGGGAAAAGUUAUAGCGUCGCAUGCCUCAAAUAGAGGUUUGUGACUGGGCAAGUCACACUUCGGUUCUUCUAAUAACCAUUGUGUGCGUAACGAAGUUUCACGAUUGUUCAUUUAUUAUAUAAUUUAUAGGUUAGAGAGAGGUGUAUUUCGACUAGCUCUAUGACUUUCCGUCUCCACAUAAAAUCUGUCCGUAAACGCACCGCGUGUACUUGGUAGACUUUACCCCAUGAUAUACAAGCGAAGUAAACUGUCCCUUCGUAGUAAAGUGACAAUUCGCAAAAUACGUAUCUGUCCCACAGUGACUUAUGCGGGUGUGGUUCUUCUUCUUCUUUUUCCUAGCAUUUUCCCGGUCAGUGCCAAGGUCCCCUUUUCUACUUAAACUCCUCCGCUUUCCCGGAUCUUCGGCAUCCUUUUGAUUCGAAUUCGGUUGAAGAAAUUCAAUUAUUACAAGAUCGAUAGUUAGAUUUCGAAAUGUAUUUCAACCUUUUUUGAAUCCUAACGAUCUCAGGUGGAUACAAUUGGAUGGGACUGUACUCUGUGGUUAUGUAAGUCAUUCAAAAGACAUCGUACUUCUGUCAUAAUCAUAGAUGAUACACUUAAUAUAUUAUGUCAUAAUUCUAUAGGAAAUAUGUAAUCAAAGUUGAACAACAUUGAAAAUUUCAUGUUAAAUUUUAGUUCAUUUCAACAAAAUUAACUGUUAAAAUGCAUCACAGUUAGGUUAAUGCAUUAGGCCCUAAGUUCUGUUUAAAAAAAAAGCUUAUAGAAAAAUGUAAACAACGGGAAGCUGGAACAAAAAAUAUAUAAAAACAAACCCAAUACAAAAUUAUUUGUUUAUGCCAUUGAGUUAAACAAAUUAUGUGAACCUAUAAACUGUUUUUUUUUUAUUAAUUUUCAUAAAGACCCUUUCACAUUAUGUUCUUCAAACUGAGCAAAAGAAAGGUUAGCAGGGAACACUAAAUGAAUAAUAAAACAUGGAUUGCUGUUCGAAACUAUGUGGAAAUUCUAAUAAUAGAGUUGUGUUCAUAGAAGAUUAUGCAGACCAACUAAGGAAGAAAGAAAUAUAUUUAAAACAUAAAGAAAAAGAAUUAAUAAAAAGAGAUAAACAUUUAAAUAAGAAAAUAAAUAAACGCCGUAAAUCGUAUUGGGAUAUCAAAUCAGAUGUUAAGACUAUAAACGAUUUAAGAAAAGAAACUUUACGAUUGCAGCGCCAGGCAAUCAAGCUCAAAGAGCAAAGAUCAUCAAAGAGGAAAAAUAAAGAACACGAACCGAAUUUGUUACUAAAAUUAAUAUUUGGAAAACCAAAAUUAAACAAAUGUAAGCUAUUUAGUGAUUAUGAGCAAUGGCAGAAGAGGCAUAUGCUUAGAAAUCAAUGUUUGGCAGCCUUCAAUAGGGUACUCGGUUCAUCAACGGGAAAUUAUAGUUUUUCUCAGCCUUGUAUUUGUUCAACACGAAGACCAGUUCAGAAACGCGGUAACGCUAGCGGAGAUUGCUAUCUCAUGUCAUUAAGAAAAACCCCACACGUCGGUAUUUAUCACCGGUGGCCACAGUUUUAUCCCCACUAUUUAAAUGCACGAGCACAAAUCGAAAAUGUUAAGUGCGUCCUAUUAUUCAUUUUGGGUAUUAUUAUUUGGACGCCUUGUUUUAUACUACUAGGUAUCUGCAAGUGUUGCUAUUGUUUUUGUUGUUCGGAUUGCUCAUAAGAAUUUACGGAAAAUACUACAAAGCUUGGAACAUAUAA
This is a long non-coding RNA of Bombyx mori (domestic silkworm), 3487 nucleotides long. RefSeq lists it as uncharacterized. The record is from RefSeq and is a predicted model, not a curated record. The transcript has 3 exons. NCBI's taxonomy places the organism in Eukaryota, Metazoa, Arthropoda, Insecta, Lepidoptera, Bombycidae.